RNAcentral lists this ribosomal RNA (254 nucleotides) under uncultured bacterium. Its description in RNAcentral is "partial 16S ribosomal RNA". It matches the Rfam family "Bacterial small subunit ribosomal RNA", at positions 524 to 776 of the family's 1533-position model. The record is from RNAcentral.
UACGGGGGGAGCAAGCGUUGUUCGGAUUUACUGGGCGUAAAGGGCGCGUAGGCGGUCGUGACAAGUCACUUGUGAAAUCUCCGGGCUUAACUCGGAACGGUCAAGUGAUACUGUCGGACUAGAGUACAGAAGGGGCAACUGGAAUUCUCGGUGUAGCGGUGAAAUGCGUAGAUAUCGAGAGGAACACCUGCGGCGAAGGCGGAUCUCUGGGCCGUAACUGACGCUGAGGAGCGAAAGCGUGGGGAGCAAACAGG